CUUGAGUUGUCUCUCAUGUCUAGACCAUUUGUGAGAAGGGAGUUUUUGUUUGCACCAAUACCCACCAAUCUCUAUAUUUGUAAGAAGUAUUAUGCUCAAUUAAGGAAAAUAGUAGUUCAACAUACCACACUACCCUUUUAAGUAGUAUCAUCCUAUAUGUUAUCUGCUACCUUAGCUAAAUUUUGCGUUCUCAUGGUGCUGCAGUAGGGUUAGUUUCUUGUGUACCUCUAGAUAUACAUUCUCUUGCUGCGUAGGGUUCCCAAGCUGUCAAAACUAGUGAUCUGUUCCCCUUGAUAUUCUGAUCCUUCAGAAGUUAGGUAUAGAAGUAAGUCGAUUAAGUUCAUUCAUGACUUUUCCAGAUGUUGCAUACAUAACUUUUUUUCAUUUGUAUUCGAACUAGUCCAAGCCGAUUCUCAAAAUCAUAUAAAAUCAUUUACACCUUGGUCAUGGUAGCUAAGAAUAUUGUAUCUAAAAUUGGGGAGUGGGGAGAUGUUUGGUUAUAUUCCCUUCUCAUCGAUGGUCUAGAUGUGCGAGGUGACUCUCAUGGAGG
Arabidopsis thaliana (thale cress) is the source of this 550-nucleotide microRNA precursor. It matches the Rfam family "MIR824 microRNA precursor family". The record is from Rfam. Lineage: Eukaryota; Viridiplantae; Streptophyta; Magnoliopsida; Brassicales; Brassicaceae.